GCGCCCGUAGCUCAGCUGGAUAGAGCAACGGCCUUCUAAGCCGUAGGUCGCAGGUUCGAAUCCUGCCGGGCGUGCCA
Molecule: transfer RNA, 77 nt
Filed under: Thiorhodovibrio winogradskyi
Lineage: Bacteria; Pseudomonadati; Pseudomonadota; Gammaproteobacteria; Chromatiales; Chromatiaceae
Also listed under: 3 other names
Description: tRNA-Arg
Rfam family: tRNA
About the family: Transfer RNA (tRNA) molecules are approximately 80 nucleotides in length.
Source: RNAcentral